This 350-nucleotide RNase P RNA is filed under the name Lachnospiraceae bacterium. RNAcentral describes it as "RNase P RNA component class A". It matches the Rfam family "Bacterial RNase P class A". Rfam says of the family: Ribonuclease P (RNase P) is a ubiquitous endoribonuclease, found in archaea, bacteria and eukarya as well as chloroplasts and mitochondria. The record is from RNAcentral. Lineage: Bacteria; Bacillati; Bacillota; Clostridia; Lachnospirales; Lachnospiraceae.
UAAGUAAAAUAAAUGAUCGCGGCUGUAGCAAUACAGGUGAGGAAAGUCCGGGCUUCAUAGGGCAGGAUGCCGGAUAACGUCCGGUGGAGGUGACUCCAAGGCCAGUGCAACAGAAAUAUACCGCCUUGGACCGCUUGCAGUCCAAGGUAAGGGUGGAAAGGCAGCUUAAGAGACUACCGUCCUGUUGGUAACAACAGGAGCCAUGUAAACCCCAUCCGAAGCAAGACCAAGUAGAAAGCCAUAGAUUGGCCCGAUCUGCUUUCAGGUAGGUCGCUUGAAACGUUUGGUAACAAACGUUCUAGAUAGAUGAUCAUUCACGACAUAACCCGGCUUAUCGUUUUGCUUACACG